Non-coding RNA from Ailuropoda melanoleuca (giant panda), 1553 nucleotides. The record is from the annotation of a RefSeq genome assembly. NCBI's taxonomy places the organism in Eukaryota, Metazoa, Chordata, Mammalia, Carnivora, Ursidae.
CUACUUGGAUGUUUGGGGCCAGGGCACCCCGGUCACCGUGUCCUCAGGCUCCAUAACGCUGGAUCUAUUCCCCUUGGUCUCGAGAUGUGAAGCCCCACAGGAAGACAACCACGUAGUCCUGGCCUGCUUGGCAAAGGGACCCUCCCUGAAGUCCGUGCAGAUCACCUUGAAGUUGGAGGGGCAGGACCAGAUCCAAGAGACAGAAGUGAUCGUCCUGGACAGAAGACACACUCAGCUGUCCUUACUGGUCACCCCCCAGGAGCCAGGCCCGUACUACUGCAACGCCAUCAGCUGGAGCCCCAGCCACCACAUGGAGAAGCCCAUCCAGUGGCCAGAGUCCCGGAAAGUGAAGACCUCCCUGUCGACUCACAGGCCAUCCCUGUCAGAGGAGCCCAGCAACACCCCCAGCACUGCCAGGGUCCCAGUGCCCUCCACCAGCCACACCCAGACACAAGCCGCGGAGCCAGGAAGCCCAGGGGAUGCCAAGCACAGAGACUGCUGGAACUACACCCACCCUCCCAGCCUCUACGUGUUGCGCCCUCCCCUGCAGGGGCCAUGGUUCCUGGGAGAGGCCUCCUUCACCUGCCUGGCCCUGGGGGAUGACCUGCAGGAGGCCCGCCUGUCCUGGGAGGUGGCCGGGGCACCCCCCAGUGGGGCCGUGGAGGAGGGGUCGCUGGAGGAGCACGUCAACGGCUCCCAGAGCCUGAGCAGCCGCCUGGCCUUGCCCGUGUCACUGUGGGCCUCUGGGGCCAGCAUCACCUGCACGCUGAGCCACCCCAGCAGGCCCCUCCAGCUGGUGUCCGCAGCGCCCAGAGAGUACGCUGCCACGGCGCCCAGCAGCCUCGCCGUCCACGUCCUGACCAUGCCCCCCGCGGCCUCCUGGCUCCUGUGUGAGGUGUCUGGCUUCUCGCCCCCCGACAUCCUCCUCACCUGGCUCAGGGGCCACGCGGAGGUGGACGCCACAGGGUUUGCCACUGCAUCGCCCGUGGCCCAGCCUGGGAACACCACGUUCCAGACCUGGAGUGUCCUGCGUGUCCUCGCGGCCCAGGGCCCUCUCCCGGCCACCUAUACGUGCGUGGUCAGGCACGACGCCUCCCGGAAGGUGCUCAACACCAGCUGGAGCCUGGACACGGGCCUGGCCAUGGCCCCCCCAGGCCCCCAGAGCCACGAUGAGAGCGGCGGGGACUCCAUGGACCUGGAGGACGCCAGCAGACUGUGGCCCACGUUCGCAGCCCUCUUCCUCCUCACUCUGCUCUACAGCGGCUUUGUCACCUUCCUCAAGGUGAAGUGACCCCAGGAGAGUAGAGGCCUGGCAUCUGCAGAGAAGGGAGGCCCGGCCUCCAUGCUGUCGCCAAGGGCAGAGGGGCCCACCCUGGACUCCAGCCCCAUCUCUGCCCACCCCCGGCCCACCUCUGUCCACCUCUGUCCAGAGCUCAGCCACCAGACCCAGAGAGGAGGGUGUCACUCCCUGCACGUCCCCAAGCCAGCAGUCCUCACUGCAGCCCCUUUCCUUUUCACCUGUCAGCCGGCCCCAUAAACAACCUUGCUCAUUC